GGGAAUCUUGCGCAAUGGGCGAAAGCCUGACGCAGCGACGCCGCGUGCGGGAGGAAGCCCCUCGGGGUGUAAACCGCUGUCAGGAGGGAAGAAUGGCUGUCCGAGGAAAUGCGGGCAGUUUGACGGUACCUCCAGAGGAAGCACCGGCUAACUCUGUGCCAGCAGCCGCGGUAAUACAGAGGGUGCGAGCGUUGUUCGGAAUUACUGGGCGUAAAGCGCGCGCAGGCGGCCCUUUAAGUCUACCCGUGAAAUGCCGGAGCUCAACUCCGCGCACGCCGGGGGAUACUGGAGGGCUGGAGACAGGUAGAGGCAGGCGGAAUUCCGGGUGUAGCGGUGGAAUGCGUAGAGAUCCGGAAGAACGCCAGAGGCGAAGGCGGCCUGCUGGGCCUUGUCUGACGCUGAGGCGCGAAAGCGUGGGGAGCGAACAGGAUUAGAUACCCUGGUAGUCCACGCCCUAAACGAUGACGACUGGAUGUCGGAGGGGUCUGCCUUUCGGUGUCGUAGCUAACGCGUUAAGUCGUCCGCCUGGGGAGUACGGCCGCAAGGUUGAAACUCAAAGGAAUUGA
RNAcentral lists this ribosomal RNA (566 nucleotides) under uncultured bacterium. RNAcentral's name for it is "bacterial SSU rRNA". It matches the Rfam family "Bacterial small subunit ribosomal RNA", at positions 357 to 913 of the family's 1533-position model. The record is from RNAcentral.